CCUAUGGGAACAUAACAGAGUCAGCUCCCGAGUGCCCGGCUUGGGCGCCUCUGCUUCUGCUGCUGCGCACCGGGGCGGCUGGCCGCGCUUUGCCGUCGGCGCUAAGGAGGAAAUAAACAGGCAAAGGUGGACGUACUAGCAUUGGAUCUGCAUUUACAAAUGUAGCUGCAUGAUUCAGAUCAGAAAUUAUUUGUGCCCCACUGGCUCACAGCAUGGUUGAAAUUAGUAUGACAACUUCCUCAUAACCCUACAUCAAGGUCUUUUCUCCCAUAUCUAGCUGUAAAUCUUUUUCCUAUUUUCAGUGAUUUCUUCUUUUGUUUCUGCAGAUAGCACAACACAUUUUGGAAAUAAUAUUUAUCAAUUUGAAAUGAACAUUCAAUAGUCAAGGGAAAUGUGAAAACCCUUAAAGUUUGAAAAUCACAAUUUUUUUCUCACUUUUGAUUAGAGAGUGCCUAAUGAAAAAGUUGCACAAAGUUACUACUGACUUCCUAACAGCUCUGUGCUGAAAUCCAGUAUGU
Vidua macroura (Pin-tailed whydah) is the source of this 518-nucleotide long non-coding RNA. RefSeq lists it as uncharacterized. NCBI's taxonomy places the organism in Eukaryota, Metazoa, Chordata, Aves, Passeriformes, Viduidae. The transcript is spliced from 3 exons. The record is from RefSeq and is a predicted model, not a curated record.